This is a non-coding RNA of Pelobates cultripes (western spadefoot toad), 293 nucleotides long. The record is from the annotation of a GenBank genome assembly. NCBI's taxonomy places the organism in Eukaryota, Metazoa, Chordata, Amphibia, Anura, Pelobatidae.
UCUUUUGACCAGGCAGCUCUGAGGAUCUGAGGCAGUACUGCCAGAUGUCUGCUAGAGAGUGGGGAAGAGAAGGGACUGACACAGGGCCCCCCUCCAUCCCCUACCAUUAGGUAAAGUAGCUGUCAACAUUAUAGUUGUGCAGGCACUUUGGCCACUCUAGAGAACCUCGGACCAAUCGCACGUCCCCAUGACGGCGACAACGCAUUCGGAUGUCUGCCCUAUCAACUUUCGAUGGACUUUUUGCGCCUAUAAUGGUGACCACGGGUAAUGGGGAAUCAGGGUUUGAUUCCAGA